Molecule: ribosomal RNA, 475 nt
Filed under: uncultured bacterium
Lineage: Bacteria
Description: partial 16S ribosomal RNA
Rfam family: Bacterial small subunit ribosomal RNA
Source: RNAcentral
UAGGGAAUCUUCCACAAUGGACGCAAGUCUGAUGGAGCAACGCCGCGUGAGUGAAGAAGGUUUUCGGACCGUAAAGCUCUGUUGUUGGUGAAGAAGGAUAGAGGUAGUAACUGGCCCUUUAUUUGACGGUAAUCAACCAGAAAGUCACGGCUAACUACGUGCCAGCAGCCGCGGUAAUCGUAGGUGGCAAGCGUUGUCCGGAUUUAUUGGGCGUAAAGCGAGCGCAGGCGGAAGAAUAAGUCUGAUGUGAAAGCCCUCGGCUUAACCGAGGAAUUGCAUCGGAAACUGUUUUCUUGAGUGCAGAAGAGGAGAGUAGAACUCCAUGUGUAGCGGUGGAAUGCGUAGAUAUAUGGAAGAAUACCAGUGGCGAAGGCGGCUCUCUGGUCUGCAACUGACGCUGAGGCUCGAAAGCAUGGGUAGCGAACAGGAUUAGAUACCCUGGUAGUCCAUGCCGUAAACGAUGAGUGCUAAGUGU